UACAGAGGUGGCAAGCGUUGUUCGGAAUUACUGGGCGUAAAGCGCGUGUAGGCGGCCCGGUAAGUCCGCUGUGAAAGUCGGGGGCUCAACCCUCGGAUGCCGGUGGAUACUGUCGGGCUCGAGUACGGAAGAGGCGAGUGGAAUUCCUGGUGUAGCGGUGAAAUGCGCAGAUAUCAGGAGGAACACCAAUUGCGAAGGCAGCUCGCUGGGACGUAACUGACGCUGAGACGCGAAAGCGUGGGGAGCAAACAGG
This 253-nucleotide ribosomal RNA is filed under the name uncultured bacterium. RNAcentral's name for it is "partial 16S ribosomal RNA". It matches the Rfam family "Bacterial small subunit ribosomal RNA", at positions 524 to 776 of the family's 1533-position model. The record is from RNAcentral.